CUUUACUCUAGCUUGGCACUGAGUCGUACAUAUAUUUGUGCAGGAUAGGUGGGAGACUAUGAAAGAUGGACGCCAGUUCAUCUCGAGUCGUCGUUGAGAUACCACCCUUGUAUAUGUAUGCCUCCAACCCCUUUUUGGGGGACCGUGCUUGGUGGGGAGUUUAACUGGGGCGGUUGCCUCCUAAAACGUAACGGAGGCGCACAAAGGUAGGCUAGGUCCGGAUGGAAAUCGGACUGGUCGUGUAUUCGCACAAGCCUGCUUGACUGAGAGACCUACAAGUCGAUCAGAGACGAAAGUCGGUGAAAGUGAUCCGGCACCAACAUGUGGGAGUGGUGUCGCUCAACGGAUAAAAGUUA
This 356-nucleotide ribosomal RNA is filed under the name uncultured organism. RNAcentral's name for it is "bacterial LSU rRNA". It matches the Rfam family "Bacterial large subunit ribosomal RNA", at positions 2099 to 2465 of the family's 2925-position model. The record is from RNAcentral.